UACGUAGGGUGCAAGCGUUGUCCGGAAUUAUUGGGCGUAAAGAGCUCGUAGGCGGUUUGUUGCGUCGGCUGUGAAAUCCCGAGGCUCAACCUCGGGUCUGCAGUCGAUACGAGCAAACUAGAGUGUUGCAGGGGAGACUGGAAUUCCUGGUGUAGCGGUGAAAUGCGCAGAUAUCAGGAGGAACACCGGUGGCGAAGGCGGCUCACUGGACCGGAACUGACGCUGAGGCGCGAAAGCGUGGGGAGCAAACAGG
Molecule: ribosomal RNA, 253 nt
Filed under: uncultured bacterium
Lineage: Bacteria
Description: partial 16S ribosomal RNA
Rfam family: Bacterial small subunit ribosomal RNA
Source: RNAcentral